RNAcentral lists this ribosomal RNA (462 nucleotides) under uncultured bacterium. RNAcentral's name for it is "bacterial SSU rRNA". It matches the Rfam family "Bacterial small subunit ribosomal RNA", at positions 339 to 793 of the family's 1533-position model. The record is from RNAcentral.
CUACGGAAGGCAGCAGUGGGGAAUUUUGGACAAUGGGGGCAACCCUGAUCCAGCAAUGCCGCGUGAGUGAAGAAGGCCUUCGGGUUGUAAAGCUCUUUUGUCAGGGAAGAAAAGGCUGCGGCUAAUAUCCGCGGUUGAUGACGGUACCUGAAGAAUAAGCACCGGCUAACUACGUGCCAGCAGCCGCGGUAAUACGUAGGGUGCAAGCGUUAAUCGGAAUUACUGGGCGUAAAGCGUGCGCAGGCGGUUUUGUAAGUCUGUCGUGAAAUCCCCGGGCUUAACCUGGGAAUUGCGAUGGAGACUGCAAGGCUGGAGUCUGGCAGAGGGGGGUAGAAUUCCACGUGUAGCAGUGAAAUGCGUAGAGAUGUGGAGGAACACCGAUGGCGAAGGCAGCCCCCUGGGUCAAGACUGACGCUCAUGCACGAAAGCGUGGGGAGCAAACAGGAUUAGAUACCCGGGUAG